GGGGGCGAAACGGCUUCGACGGGGGUUAUGAAGCAACGGCUGCAUACCGAGCGCCUGCCAGCUCGUAAAUCCGACAGGAACAUAAAUAUAAUCGCAGACGAUUAUAACUACGCCGUAGCGGCUUAGCUACCGUUCCACCGGGGGGCGCCUGCGACCCUGGAUGGGGCGUCGACUAGCAGGACAGCCGGUUUCGGGUACCUGUACUGAAAUCGGUUAAACUCACAGGGUAAGCUUCCGGCCAUCCGGUUCGUGGGAGGGCCAGCGGACGAAAAUCAAAACACGGAAUAAGUAUGUAGAGGCUUUUGUGGAUUGCUUUCGGACGCGGGUUCAACUCCCGCCGCCUCCACCA
This 349-nucleotide transfer-messenger RNA is filed under the name Desulfobacterales. RNAcentral's name for it is "JAEINQ01 sp016342285 Standard tmRNA". It matches the Rfam family "transfer-messenger RNA". Rfam says of the family: Bacterial tmRNA, also known as 10Sa RNA or SsrA, is named for its dual tRNA and mRNA-like properties. Its role is to liberate the mRNA from a stalled ribosome. RNAcentral also lists the same sequence under 1 other name. The record is from RNAcentral. Lineage: Bacteria; Pseudomonadati; Thermodesulfobacteriota; Desulfobacteria.